UGGGGAAUUUUGGACAAUGGGGGAAACCCUGAUCCAGCCAUCCCGCGUGUGCGAUGAAGGCCUUCGGGUUGUAAAGCACUUUUGUCAGGAAAGAAACGUCAUGGGUUAAUACCCCGUGAAACUGACGGUACCUGCAGAAUAAGCACCGGCUAACUACGUGCCAGCAGCCGCGGUAACACGUAGGGUGCAAGCGUUAAUCGGAAUUACUGGGCGUAAAGCGUGCGCAGGCGGUUCGGAAAGAAAGAUGUGAAAUCCCAGAGCUCAACUUUGGAACUGCAUUUUUAACUACCGGGCUAGGGGGGGUCAGAGGGAGGUGGAAUUCGUGGUGUAGCAGUGAAAUGCGUAGAUAUGCGGAGGAACACCGAUGGCGAAGGCAGCCUCCUGGGAUAACACUGACGCUCAUGCACGAAAGCGUGGGGAGCAAACAGG
RNAcentral lists this ribosomal RNA (429 nucleotides) under Acidobacteriota bacterium. Its description in RNAcentral is "Acidobacteria bacterium partial 16S ribosomal RNA". It matches the Rfam family "Bacterial small subunit ribosomal RNA", at positions 355 to 776 of the family's 1533-position model. The record is from RNAcentral. Lineage: Bacteria; Pseudomonadati; Acidobacteriota.